RNAcentral lists this ribosomal RNA (330 nucleotides) under uncultured bacterium. Its description in RNAcentral is "bacterial SSU rRNA". It matches the Rfam family "Bacterial small subunit ribosomal RNA", at positions 568 to 898 of the family's 1533-position model. The record is from RNAcentral.
UGUGUAGGCGGUCCCUUAAGUUUGGUGUGAAAUCUCCCGGCUCAACCGGGAGGGUGCGCCGAAAACUGGGGGACUCGAGUGCGGGAUGGGAGAGUGGAAUUCCUGGUGUAGCGGUGAAAUGCGUAGAUAUCAGGAGGAACACCGGUGGUGUAGACGGCUCUCUGGACCGCAACUGACGCUGAGACACGAAAGCGUGGGUAGCAAACAGGAUUAGAUACCCUGGUAGUCCACGCCCUAAACGAUGCAUAUUUGGUGUAGGUCAUUCAGUUGAUCUGUGCCGGAGCUAACGCGUUAAAUAUGCCGCCUGGGGAGUACAGUCGCAAGGCUGAA